AGAGUUUGAUCCUGGCUCAGGAUGAACGCUAGCGGCAGGCCUAAUACAUGCAAGUCGAACGGUUCGCAAGGACAGUGGCAAACGGGUGCGUAACGCGUAAGCAACCUGCCUCAUACUGGGGGAUAGCCCGGCGAAAGCUGGGGUAAACCCGCACGGNUCCCAAGAAGUCACCUGGCUUUCUGGGUAAACAUUUAUGGGUAUGAGAGGGGCUUGCGUCUGAUUAGUUAGUUGGCAGAGUAACGGCCUACCAAGACGAUGAUCAGUAGGGGUUCUGAGAGGAUUGGCCCCCACAUGGGUACUGAGAUACGGACCCAACUCCUACGGGAGGCAGCAGUAGGGAAUAUUGGGCAAUGGAGGCAACUCUGACCCAGCCAUGCCGCGUGCAGGAUGAAGGCGCUCAGCGUUGUAAACUGCUUUUAUUGGUGAAGAACUGUAGAUCUGCGGAUUUAUUUGACGGUAGCCAAGGAAUAAGCGCCGGCUAACUCCGUGCCAGCAGCCGCGGUAAUACGGAGGGUGCAAGCGUUGUCCGGAUUUAUUGGGUUUAAAGGGUGCGUAGGUGGAACUGUAAGUCUGAUUUGAAAGCAAGCGGGCUUAACCGUUUGAUGUGGUUGGAAACUGUGGUUCUUGAAUGGGUUGGCGGUAGCCGGAAUGGGUCAUGUAGCGGUGAAAUGCAUAGAUAUGACCCGGAAC
RNAcentral lists this ribosomal RNA (690 nucleotides) under uncultured bacterium. RNAcentral's name for it is "bacterial SSU rRNA". It matches the Rfam family "Bacterial small subunit ribosomal RNA", at positions 8 to 707 of the family's 1533-position model. The record is from RNAcentral.